GUCGACGACUCUGGUAUUGAUUGGUGCUUGCAUCAUGAUUUACAUUUGAGUGAGUGGCGAACUGGUGAGUAACACGUGGGAAACCUGCCCAGAAGCGGGGGAUAACACCUGGAAACAGAUGCUAAUACCGCAUAACAACUUGGACCGCAUGGUCCGAGCUUGAAAGAUGGCUUCGGCUAUCACUUUUGGAUGGUCCCGCGGCGUAUUAGCUAGAUGGUGGGGUAACGGCUCACCAUGGCAAUGAUACGUAGCCGACCUGAGAGGGUAAUCGGCCACAUUGGGACUGAGACACGGCCCAAACUCCUACGGGAGGCAGCAGUAGGGAAUCUUCCACAAUGGACGAAAGUCUGAUGGAGCAACGCCGCGUGAGUGAAGAAGGGUUUCGGCUCGUAAAACUCUGUUGUUAAAGAAGAACAUAUCUGAGAGUAACUGUUCAGGUAUUGACGGUAUUUAACCAGAAAGCCACGGCUAACUACGUGCCAGCAGCCGCGGUAAUACGUAGGUGGCAAGCGUUGUCCGGAUUUAUUGGGCGUAAAGCGAGCGCAGGCGGUUUUUUAAGUCUGAUGUGAAAGCCUUCGGC
RNAcentral lists this ribosomal RNA (580 nucleotides) under Lactiplantibacillus plantarum. RNAcentral describes it as "bacterial SSU rRNA". It matches the Rfam family "Bacterial small subunit ribosomal RNA", at positions 61 to 608 of the family's 1533-position model. The record is from RNAcentral. Lineage: Bacteria; Bacillati; Bacillota; Bacilli; Lactobacillales; Lactobacillaceae.